Molecule: transfer RNA, 72 nt
Filed under: Jaapia argillacea MUCL 33604
Lineage: Eukaryota; Fungi; Basidiomycota; Agaricomycetes; Jaapiales; Jaapiaceae
Description: tRNA-Trp (CCA) (tRNA-Trp-CCA-2-1)
Rfam family: tRNA
About the family: Transfer RNA (tRNA) molecules are approximately 80 nucleotides in length. Their secondary structure includes four short double-helical elements and three loops (D, anti-codon, and T loops).
Source: RNAcentral
GAUCUCGUGGCGCAGUGGUAGCGCGUGUGAUUCCAGUCCACAAGGUCAUCCGUUCAAUCCGGGUCGAGAUCA